UCAAGACAGAUGGGGACCCAUUUUAAC
Molecule: non-coding RNA, 27 nt
Filed under: Mus musculus (house mouse)
Lineage: Eukaryota; Metazoa; Chordata; Mammalia; Rodentia; Muridae
Source: RNAcentral